UGCACCCACAUGUGCGACUGAACUUCAGACAAGAAGUUAUUUAGAAACACUACAUAAGUGCACAUAGUACAACAGCACGGAAACAAGAUUUCUGCUACCGGAGCAAAUUCAAAGCAGUUGCGAUCUAAACGUUUGUGUUCUAACUUAGUUGGGUUCACAACAUGAACUUCAUAAAAAUCUAUACAACAUACAUCACAACACACAAGCAGCACACCCAGUGCACGCAUAAACGCAAGCAUGCACGCACACACCAGUGCACAAACACACACAUUAGCAUGUUCCCCAUGCCACACUCAGGGCGCACUCAUAGGGCGUUGGUGACUGGCCGCAGAGUUCGCGAGGACACAGGGCAGCUGCGGCGGCAGACAGGACAUGACACACCAUGCAGUGCCUUUAUGGACAAGUUAGAAGCACUAGUGCAAGCGCUUAAAGGACUCCGACGACCGCACCUGUAGCAAAGAGGUAGAAGUUCAGUUUUAGGUACAAGUUUAAAUUUCAGAUUAUUCAGAGGCACUUGCAUGAACAUGAUGAUAGCAAAAGCAAGCAUAUAGUAGGAGACUAUAACCCGCAAAAAUGAAAGCUAAGACACGUUCAAUAGUAGCCUGGAAGCACACACAUACAACCAUAAUUAAACUUGGCAUAUAGCUAUAAUAGGACUUCACGAUGGCCGACGUAUAGCCAUAGUAGAACUUGGCGUAUAGCCAUGGUUGAACUCUCGCCAUUAGUGUAUAGAAUAUCAUUAGGGCUCCAAAAUACAACAUGAAUCAGCUAGAAAAGAAGAGCACAACAUCUGAACCUUCCAUGGCCAUGGGGUAUGAGCAUUACCACACAAUAGAAAAUAGUACAAUACCACUUAUCCACCUAUUACAAUUUUUUCAGUCUGGUAGUAACUAGCCCAAACGAAUUUCAGGCCAAUCUUUUUGGUUCAGGUUCAGUUGACCACUUCUGAAAAUGUCCAGGCUCUAAAAUCCAACUCUGCAAUUUUUUCAGUCUGGUAGUACUAGCUCGACCAAAUAGUGCAAUCCAGAUCUUCUUAAGAAUAUGAUGACCAUUUUGAGGAGAGUGCAGAGUUGCAUUUUUGUGUCAUUAUAUUUUUACGACUCUAGUAGACUUGUCACUAUUUGGUUGAGCCUGUACUAUUUUUGGUCUCUUUGAAUGACCUGAACUUCCGAACAAGCAUACAGAAAAAAUGUACUAUUUAAGCAUAUAGCAGGAGACUGUAACUACUUGCUUCGGUUGAGCAUGUACUAUUUAGGCAUAUAACAAGCAUAUAGCAGGAGACUAUAGCAGCUCUUCUUUCGAUGUUCAAAUAUGACGAGCUGAACUUUUUCACAAUAGUAACUAGCUCAACCGAAGCAACUUAUGAUGACCUAAACUUCUAAAGAAGAAUACACCAAAAUGCAGAGUUUGAUUUUUAGAGACGCAAGUUCUUCCAAAUUGCAUUAAUCAAACACUAGCACCACAUCAGACUCCACACAACCCCUGCAGUUCAAUCAGUCGAGGUAGCUAAGUUAAGUUAACAGAAGUUUUUACCUCACCAAGACAUCCAUGUGCAGGAGCAUGUCGCAGAAAGCACGCCUGCUCAGGUUGGGGCCGUUGCUGUAGGACAGUACGGUGGUGGGCGACGCUGCCGGUUGACCCAGUACAGGGAAGGUUUGGCCGGCCUACCCACGCUCACCGCCGCCCUAGCCUGAUUGUUAAAACUGCAUCCAAAAUGAGCAGCUAUAUAGGAAAUAAGCGCUACCUCACUCCAACCUUUAUACGAAUAAAGAGAAAUCUGAAUGUUUUGUUUGUUAAACCUUCAGAUCCAUAUAAUGCUGACCACAUGCUUUUUCAAACAGAGCACACUGUACUUCUUUUAGGACACGAAGCAUGAAUGAUUAGUGAAUAAGCAAUAUAAAAGAGGAAUUUUGCUAAUUGCAUAUACGUCCAUAUAUGUAUCAUAGAGAGAUCAAAGAUAGAGAGAUGCUGCUUUUUCCCUUAUAUGAUGGUUUGGUUCCCUUUUAUCAGUACACCUAGAGUUCCUACUAGACAUUAGCACAAACACAUUACUGGCAGCCAAAGCAUAAAAUUGCUAGCAUGUUAUGGUCACGCCCUGAUUCGUGAUGCAUGGGAAGGGGAAGCAGUGGAGCGGCUGAGCUCCACCGGCCACGCACGGGGUGUCACAGGGGUGUCCACGACGGAUUUAGGAGCUACAACAUCAGUAGAAACCGAACUGCAGAGUGCAGAGGAUCCGACCUUCACUCCAGCGCUGAGGAGGUGACGAGCGUGAGGAGGAGGCCGGUGGAUGACUGAAACUGUAAAGACUAAAGAGGCAUCCGUAACAAAAAUGUUGAGCAGACCUCCAACUUUUGUCCCUGCAGUUUCUUCGGUUCUUCACCUUCCACUUAUCCCUUUGCAAGCAACAAGCUACUCCACUGUUUCCCUUGCUAGCUGCUGUAACAACACAUUCAUUAUUAGUCUAUUCAUGAUCACUACAAGCAAAGAUCACACCAGAUAUUCCCAAUAGAAACAUAAUUUUUAUCAGAAGAAAAAAAUAUUAUUCUUUGCACUAAUGAAGUUCAUUUUUUUCACUUCUACUAAAACGUACUAAGUCCAAAAGAUAGAACACAUUCAUCUCCUCAGUCCUCACGAGUAAAGUAAAAAUAGGGUAUGUACAAAUGUUCAUCCCAAAUGAACACCGGUCAUGAAAUUUUCUGCACCAUAAACAUUGCAAAGCUCAUUUCUUUUAACUGUUAAGAACUGAUGAUUUUCUUUUGUCAAUGAACUCUUCUAACAUAUGUACUAGAAUUUCUAAAAGUUCAACAUUUUUUUGUAAUGGAUAUAAUGAACUCCUUAAUUUCAGACAUGAAAAUUAUAGAAUUUUUUUUUAUAGGCAAUCAAAUUGACAUACAGAGGAGGCGAGAAGGCUGACGGAGAGAGACGACGUCGUUGCAGCCGAAGCCGGUGUAGGCGGUUGGCCUCGUUGAGACGACAUCGUUGCAGCCAAAGACGGUGUAGCCGUGUAGGCGGUUGGCCUCGUCGGCGACGCGCUGGAGGAAGGGAGUGCUGUUGCCGAUAGCGGGAGAUGAGGCCCGUGGAGGCACAGGGUCUCGCGGCUGCCAGCUCAAGGAGUAGUGCGUGUAAAAAAGAUAAAACUGCAAAAUUCAGUACACUUUCUGUAGAACAUCAAAACAGCAACAUUCAGUUCAUCUUCACAAAGGAGGACUGUUGUAGCAUCUAGAUUCGAAGGAGAAGCAUUAUGCUAGAAUAAGUUGGACUGCAUAUAUUCUUCUUUUUGAACUUUUGCAACAAGUUAGAACUCUGUAUGCAGGUCGUGGGGAGGUGAGCGGCGGCAAUGUACGCGGGCCUGAACAUUGUUACUACCCAAAACCACAAACGUGCUACCUGUAGAAAAUCCACAAACGUGCUUAACAUGGAUGGGAUGGAAGUGCUGUGCUCACCCUCACCUUGACUGCUCUGGACUGCUACUCGCGAUGGCCCCAACCUCCCUGACGAUGCGGGGCUCGACUGGGAUGGCAUUGUGUCCCCGUCAGGGCAAUCGGGAGGAGGCGGAGGUGUGGGAACCGGGAUGAGGAAGAAGGUAGGUGCGGGAGCUCCACCUGGGGGGGAUCGUGCCAGAGUGGGGAGGCACUGGGUGGAGCCGAGAAAAGCUUGGAUCCCCGCCGAUGGCCCCCAAUUUUUCUGGAAUAGGAGGCAGGCAGAGUGAGCCGGGGCAAGUAGGCGACUAAUGUGGCGUCCGCUCCGGGGGAACGN
This 3756-nucleotide long non-coding RNA is filed under the name Triticum aestivum (bread wheat). Its description in RNAcentral is "long non-coding RNA (TAES_LNC023889)". Lineage: Eukaryota; Viridiplantae; Streptophyta; Magnoliopsida; Poales; Poaceae. The record is from RNAcentral.